Molecule: non-coding RNA, 30 nt
Filed under: Rattus norvegicus (Norway rat)
Lineage: Eukaryota; Metazoa; Chordata; Mammalia; Rodentia; Muridae
Source: RNAcentral
UGUUCCAGCACAAAUGACUCUGGCCGGAAA